Molecule: long non-coding RNA, 1742 nt
Organism: Hemicordylus capensis (graceful crag lizard)
Lineage: Eukaryota; Metazoa; Chordata; Lepidosauria; Squamata; Cordylidae
Exons: 9
Source: RefSeq, a predicted model, not a curated record
UCCAUGGAUGUCAGCCCCUGUAGCCAGAGCUCUGUUGUCUCCAGGCCUGCUGGGACCUGGUGACUGGGUACAGAAGGUAAAUGGAUACACAAGACCAAAAAAGCAAGGGAGAAGAGCUCUCCUUCCCUCCUAUCUUGCUGAAGAUCAGGGCACAGAAGCUGGGCUACCCUGCUUUGAGCAACCUGUGUUGGAGGGAUUUUCAUGAGUUCACAUAGGCUGCCAAACUGCAUCUGUUGAACUUGUUUCUUUCUGGCUGUGGGCUUAACAGAGACUGACAGAGUCUGCAGCACCAGCUCCAGCUGCUUGCAGCCUGGGCUGGAAGACUGCAGGGCUCCCUGCAGGAGUGCAGCACCAGGGGAUCCCCACUGCACUUGCAUGGCGCAUUAUGGGAGUUCUGAGGGCCUCCCAGGCCUGCCGGCAGUGGUGGAGGAUCAUCGGCAAAGGAGGAUCGGUGGAGGAGCAUCAGCAAAGAGGAAUGGCUCAUCUGCGGGGGAGUGAUUGUUAUGGAGAAACUAGGACUACAACCUUGGCUCUCUUUCUGAAUUGCAAAAAUCCAAAAACUUGCAAGGGGAUCAAAAUUCCAUCUCCUGCUGACAUAAUAGCCUUGGUUUCCAAGCCACCACUUCAGAAUCUCCACCCCAGCCAGGCAGGCAGCAGCCAACAAGUGGGGGGAAUAUACAUGAUUGCCAGAGCUGCCUGGAAUCGCUGAGAUGCAGGAUUUCUCUCUGGAUGAAACUUCAGCAGAGAUGCCCGAGGAGAAACAUCCCUGCAGCAGCUGGGGGUGGGGGAGGUGACCCACAAGUGUGUCCAAUCAAUGCAACAAUGCAGAGGGGGAGAAGAGGAGAGGAGCACAGAGGGGUCCAAGUGCAUUCAAGUGUUUCAUCUCCUGUCAAGACACAUUAAACAGCUAUUUCCAUCCUCAACUCACUUAGAAGGUUUACCAAGAGUUUUCAGCAGCUUGAAUCUUUAACUGGAGGAGGAGGGUAUUAACUGGUGAUAUCAAGGAAAUCAAGACCAUACCCUCCAUCUGAGUUCCCAGCUUAUAAAGACACAGAUGAGUGAAUCCAAGGAGCAUGCACAAGGCAACGAGUACCAGCGCAUCCAAGUUUUAGCACGGUAAUUGUGACAGCCCAUCAUCAUUGUUGUAUUGCAAGAAUGGAGGAAAAGAAGUCUGAGGGCUCUCCCUCACCAGAGGUCUGAAUGUGUUUUGAAAGAAGAUAUGUCAAAUGUGGCAGUUCAUACACAGCCCAGUUAAGGAAUUUGUGGCCUCAUUGCUGCAAACUUUAGGCAUCUGUAUAACCUAAGAUAAUGAGGUGGCUAGAGUUCGAAGCAGGCUGGAAAGCCCGGGAAAAUGUCGUAUUAAAACAGCUGCUGCUGCUACCAGUGACAUGAGCUAACAAAAGCUGCAAAGCGUGACAGCUGACUGGUAGCAUUGGAAGGGCUGUGCCUUGGGCGAGGAGGAGACAGAAAUCACAAGGCUGAGCACCUCCAGUAAUUCCUCAGAAGGUGCCUGUAAUACCUGGUUAGUGUGUGCCCUGCUGUGUGCCCCAUUAACAUUGCUCACCCAGUCCUUUAAUCCUGACCCCUGCUACUUGGAGUCUUAGCAUUUUACAGUUCUAAUGGUUUUGCCUACAAAAUCCCUGUAGCCUGAUACACAUUACUAUUUUUACAGUAAUAUUUCUAAUACCCAGCAUGAGCGGGGUGUGUGUGUGUGUGUGUGUGUGUAUAAAACCAAGCACCAG